ACGGGUGAGUAACACGUGGGCAAUCUGCCCUUCACUCUGGGACAAGCCCUGGAAACGGGGUCUAAUACCGGAUAUGAGCCCGGGAGGCAUCUCCCGAGUUGUAAAGCUCCGGCGGUGAAGGAUGAGCCCGCGGCCUAUCAGCUUGUUGGUGAGGUAACGGCUCACCAAGGCGACGACGGGUAGCCGGCCUGAGAGGGCGACCGGCCACACUGGGACUGAGACACGGCCCAGACUCCUACGGGAGGCAGCAGUGGGGAAUAUUGCACAAUGGGCGCAAGCCUGAUGCAGCGACGCCGCGUGAGGGAUGACGGCCUUCGGGUUGUAAACCUCUUUCAGCAGGGAAGAAGCGCAAGUGACGGUACCUGCAGAAGAAGCGCCGGCUAACUACGUGCCAGCAGCCGCGGUAAUACGUAGGGCGCAAGCGUUGUCCGGAAUUAUUGGGCGUAAAGAGCUCGUAGGCGGCUUGUCACGUCGGGUGUGAAAGCCCGGGGCUUAACCCCGGGUCUGCAUUCGAUACGGGCUGGCUAGAGUGUGGUAGGGGAGAUCGGAAUUCCUGGUGUAGCGGUGAAAUGCGCAGA
Molecule: ribosomal RNA, 578 nt
Filed under: uncultured bacterium
Lineage: Bacteria
Description: bacterial SSU rRNA
Rfam family: Bacterial small subunit ribosomal RNA
Source: RNAcentral